This 468-nucleotide ribosomal RNA is filed under the name uncultured bacterium. RNAcentral describes it as "partial 16S ribosomal RNA". It matches the Rfam family "Bacterial small subunit ribosomal RNA", at positions 28 to 507 of the family's 1533-position model. The record is from RNAcentral.
GACGAACGCUGGCGGCGUGCUUAACACAUGCAAGUCGAACGGAAAGGCCCUGCUUUUGUGCGGUGCUCGAGUUGCGAACGGGUGAGUAGCCCGUGGGUAACCUGCCCUUGACUUUAGGAUAACUUCAGGAAACUUGGUCUAAUACCAGAUAGGAGCUCCUGCUGCAUGGUGGGGGUUGGAAAGUUUCGGCGGUUGGGGAUGGAAUCGCGGCUUAUCAGCUUGUUGGGGGGGUAGUGGCUUACCAAGGCUUUGAAGGGUAGCCGGCCUGAGAGGGUGACCUGCCACACUGGGACUGAGAUACGGCCCAGACUACUACGGGAGGCAGCAGUGGAGAAGAUUGCACAAUGGGCGGAAGCCUGAUGCAGCAACGCCGCGUGCGGGAUGACGGCCUUCGGGUUGUAAACCGCUUCCGCCUGUGACGAAGCGAGAGUGACGGUAAUGGGUAAAGAAGCACCGGCUAACUACGUG